Molecule: ribosomal RNA, 432 nt
Filed under: uncultured bacterium
Lineage: Bacteria
Description: bacterial SSU rRNA
Rfam family: Bacterial small subunit ribosomal RNA
Source: RNAcentral
GGGCCCGCACAAGCGGUGGAGUAUGUGGUUUAAUUCGAUGCAACGCGAAGAACCUUACCAGGGUUUGACAUCCUGCGAAUCUCUUGGAAACGAGAGAGUGCCUUCGGGAACGCAGUGACAGGUGGUGCAUGGCUGUCGUCAGCUCGUGUCGUGAGAUGUUGGGUUAAGUCCCGCAACGAGCGCAACCCACGUCUUUAGUUGCCAGCAUUUAGUUGGGCACUCUAGAGAGACCGCCGGUGAUAAACCGGAGGAAGGUGUGGAUGACGUCAAGUCAUCAUGCCCCUUACAUCCUGGGCUACACACGUACUACAAUGCUACGGACAAAGGGCAGCAAGUUCGCGAGGACAAGCAAAUCUCAAAAAAGUUGCCUCAGUUCGGAUUGGAGUCUGCAACUCGACUCCAUGAAGUUGGAAUCGCUAGUAAUCGCGGAUC